GAUGAACGCUGGCGGCGUGCCUAAUACAUGCAAGUCGAGCGAACAGACGAUGAGCUUUCUCCUCUGACGUUAGCGGCGGACGGGCGAGUGACGCGUGCAUCACCUACUUAUUAUUCUGGGGGGACUUCGGAGAGCCGGAUCUAAUACCAGAUAAUAUAUUGAACCGCAUGGUUCAAUAGUUAUACACAGUUUUCGUGUCACUUAUAGACGAAUCCGCGCCGGAUUAGCUAGUUGGUAAGGUAACGGCUCACCAAGGCAACGAUGCGUAGCUGACCUGAGAGGAUGAUCAGCCACACUGGAACUGAGACACGGUCCAGACUCCUACGGGAGGCAGCAGUGGGGAAUAUUGGACAAUGGGCGCAAGCCUGAUCCAGCCAUGCCGCGUGAGUGAAGAAGGUCUUCGGGUUGUAAAGCCCUUUUGUUGGGAAAGAACAGCAGCGUAUGAAAACCCCGCUGUUCUGACGGUACCCAAAGAGUAAGCACCGGCUAACUUCGUG
RNAcentral lists this ribosomal RNA (497 nucleotides) under uncultured bacterium. Its description in RNAcentral is "partial 16S ribosomal RNA". It matches the Rfam family "Bacterial small subunit ribosomal RNA", at positions 28 to 507 of the family's 1533-position model. The record is from RNAcentral.